Molecule: long non-coding RNA, 468 nt
Organism: Oncorhynchus keta (chum salmon)
Lineage: Eukaryota; Metazoa; Chordata; Actinopteri; Salmoniformes; Salmonidae
Exons: 3
Source: RefSeq, a predicted model, not a curated record
GUCUGAACAUUGUUUUGACUCUUGUUGUUCUGUUGUUCAAUGUAAUUUAUCCAACCCUUAUGUUACCAGGUACGUUAACUGUUAUUUAUCCAACCCUUAUGUUACCAGGUAAGUUGACUGAUGUUAUUUAUCCAACCCUUAUGUUACCAGGUAAGUUAACUGAUGUUAUUUAUCCAACCCUUAUGUUACCAGGUAAGUUGACUGAUGUUAUUUAUCCAACCCUUAUGUUACCAGGUAAGUUAACUGAUGUUAUUUAUCCAACCCUUAUGUUACCAGGUAAGUUAACUGAUGUUAUUUAUCCAACCCUUAUGUUACCAGGUAAGUUAACUGUUAUUUAUCCAACCAUUAUGCUACCAGGUAUGUUGACUGAGAACAUAUUGUAAUUUGGGCCUAGAACAACAACCAGGGAAGAGGAGAGAGGUUUCCUCCCUCUCUCGUUCUAGUGUUGAGGGCUUUCUAAAAAAUGUG